This 1382-nucleotide ribosomal RNA is filed under the name uncultured bacterium. RNAcentral describes it as "16S ribosomal RNA". It matches the Rfam family "Bacterial small subunit ribosomal RNA". The record is from RNAcentral.
UUCGCCCUUAGAGUUUGAUCCUGGCUCAGGACGAACGCUGGCGGCGCGCCUAACACAUGCAAGUCGAACGAGCGAGAGAGAGCUUGCUUUCUCGAGCGAGUGGCGAACGGGUGAGUAACGCGUGAGGAACCUGCCUCAAAGAGGGGGACAACAGUUGGAAACGACUGCUAAUACCGCGUAAGCCCACGGGUCGGCAUCGACCAGAGGGAAAAGGAGCAAUCCGCUUUGAGAUGGCCUCGCGUCCGAUUAGCUAGUUGGUGAGGUAAUGGCCCACCAAGGCAACGAUCGGUAGCCGGACUGAGAGGUUGAACGGCCACAUUGGGACUGAGACACGGCCCAGACUCCUACGGGAGGCAGCAGUGGGGAAUAUUGCACAAUGGGGGAAACCCUGAUGCAGCGACGCCGCGUGGAGGAAGAAGGUCUUCGGAUUGUAAACUCCUGUUGUUGAGGAAGAUAAUGACGGUACUCAACAAGGAAGUGACGGCUAACUACGUGCCAGCAGCCGCGGUAAAACGUAGGUCACAAGCGUUGUCCCGAAUUACUGGGUGUAAAGGGAGCGCAGGCGGGAAGACAAGUUGGAAGUGAAAUCCAUGGGGCUCCACCCAUGAACUGGCUUUCAAAAACUGUUUUUCUUGAGUAGGGCAGAGGUAGGCGGAAUUCCCGGUGUAGCGGUGGAAUGCGUAGAUAUCGGGGGGAACACCAGUGGCGAAGGCGGCCUACUGGGCACCAACUGACGCUGAGGCUCGAAAGUGUGGGUAGCAAACAGGAUUAGAUACCCUGGUAGUCCACACCGUAAACGAUGAUUACUAGGUGUUGGAGGAUUGACCCCUUCAGUGCCGCAGUUAACACAAUAAGUAAUCCACCUGGGGAGUACGACCGCAAGGUUGAAACUCAAAGGAAUUGACGGGGGCCCGCACAAGCAGUGGAGUAUGUGGUUUAAUUCGACGCAACGCGAAGAACCUUACCAAGUCUUGACAUCCCUUGACGAUGCUGGAAACAGUAUUUCUCUUCGGAGCAAGGAGACAGGUGGUGCAUGGUUGUCGUCAGCUCGUGUCGUGAGAUGUUGGGUUAAGUCCCGCAACGAGCGCAACCCUUAUGGUCAGUUACUACGCAAGAGGACUCUGGCCAGACUGCCGUUGACAAAACGGAGGAAGGUGGGGAUGACGUCAAAUCAUCAUGCCCUUUAUGACUUGGGCUACACACGUACUACAAUGGCGUUAAACAAAGAGAAGCAAGACCGCGAGGUGGAGCAAAACUCAGAAACAACGUCCCAGUUCGGACUGCAGGCUGCAACUCGCCUGCACGAAGUCGGAAUUGCUAGUAAUCGUGGAUCAGCAUGCCACGGUGAAUACGUUCCCGGGCCUUGCACACACCGCCCGUCA